Molecule: unclassified non-coding RNA, 400 nt
Filed under: Bombus terrestris (buff-tailed bumblebee)
Lineage: Eukaryota; Metazoa; Arthropoda; Insecta; Hymenoptera; Apidae
Description: misc RNA ENSBTSG00005026344.1
Source: RNAcentral
AUGUGGCUCUGGCCGGCGUCAAAGUCGCCGCGCGUACUAUCGUCGUUUUCGCGCUUCUUUAUGCGAGUGGCGCGCCAUCGGAUCCGGUUCUCUGGCUAUGCUCCCGAGGAUCGAUCACCAGGGACGGGUUCAGAGAGAGGCCAGAGCUUUGUUCGGUUGAAUCGAUCCGGGUAUAUAGGUUCUUGGGCGACGAGAAUUUGGCUGGACGUCGAGCAAGGUUUCGGUUAGGAUUGUUGGGUCUUAUAUUAGCAUUAUGAUCUGUAAUGGCUGUAGAAAUGACUGGAAAGAGGUUAGGACACAUUUUUCAUAGAUUUAUUGUCCAUUUUGGUGUCUGAAUAAUUUUUUCAUUGAAAUUAUAUAUUAAUUUUAAAUUGACAUUAUGGAUUGCGAUGAUUUAGUU